CCUACGGGAGGCAGCAGUGGGGAAUAUUGGACAAUGGGCGAAAGCCUGAUCCAGCCAUGCCGCGUGUGUGAAGAAGGCCUUCGGGUUGUAAAGCACUUUCAGUGGGGAAGAAAGCCUUGGGGCUAAUACCCUCGAGGAAGGACAUCACCCACAGAAGAAGCACCGGCUAACUCCGUGCCAGCAGCCGCGGUAAUACGGAGGGUGCGAGCGUUAAUCGGAAUUACUGGGCGUAAAGCGCGCGUAGGCGGUCUGAUAAGCCGGUUGUGAAAGCCCCGGGCUCAACCUGGGAACGGCAUCCGGAACUGUCAGGCUAGAGUGCAGGAGAGGAAGGUAGAAUUCCCGGUGUAGCGGUGAAAUGCGUAGAGAGCGGGAGGAAUACCAGUGGCGAAGGCGGCCUUCUGGACUGACACUGACGCUGAGGUGCGAAAGCGUGGGUAGCAAACAGGAUUAGAUACCCUUGUAGUC
Molecule: ribosomal RNA, 465 nt
Filed under: Vreelandella stevensii
Lineage: Bacteria; Pseudomonadati; Pseudomonadota; Gammaproteobacteria; Oceanospirillales; Halomonadaceae
Description: partial 16S ribosomal RNA
Rfam family: Bacterial small subunit ribosomal RNA
Source: RNAcentral